AGAUCAUACGCCUAGAUCUCGCUCCACAGGGCCCGGUCCCACUCCUGGUGGUAGUGCAAAGAAGCAAGAUCAUACGCCUAGAUCUCGCUCCACUACCAGAGGGCCCGGUCCCACUCCUGGUGGUAGUGCAAAGAAGAAAGAUGAUGCAUCGGCCAUGGAUCCCAGACACCCUGUUGGCAGUGGUAAAAAAAGAAAAGGUCGUGCAUCGAGCAGAGAUGGUGGGCAGGAUCCUGAUUGGCAGGAAAGUGACUGGCAGCCACACAAGAUCCCCUUCAGUGCAAGACCUGGUCCGCAGAGCGCUGCUGCAGAGCUGACUUCUGAAUCGCCAGCAGACUUCUUUGAGCUCUUCCUAACUGAUGAGCUGUUAGGCCACAUUGUGGAGCAGACAAAUUUGUAUGCACGUCAAUAUUUUGAGGCCCACCCCUACACUCCCCCACCACACAGUAGGCAAAACGCAUGGAAACCGGUGUCAGUCCAAGAAAUGAAAUCAUUCUUUGGGCUAACAUUCCUCACUGGCUAUGUAAAAAAGCCAAACUUGGAGCUUUAUUGGAGCGUAGAUGAGGUUGAUGCCACCCCGUAUUUCUCCAAGACUAUGUCACGAAAUAGGUUCCAGCUCAUAUGGAGGUUCCUUCAUUUCAAUGACAACAGAGCCCAGGAUUA
Long non-coding RNA from Cololabis saira (Pacific saury), 660 nucleotides. RefSeq lists it as uncharacterized. NCBI's taxonomy places the organism in Eukaryota, Metazoa, Chordata, Actinopteri, Beloniformes, Belonidae. The transcript has 4 exons. The record is from RefSeq and is a predicted model, not a curated record.